GCCAGACGAGGCAGCCCGCGCCUGUAGUCCCAGCUACUCCCAUCUUGGGAGGCUGAGACGGGAGGAUCGCUUGAGCCCAGGAGUUCUGGGCUGUAGUGUGCUGUGCGGAUCGCGUGUCCACACUAAGGUCGGCAGCAAUAUGGUGACCUCCCGGGAGCGGGGGACCACCAGGUUGCCUAAGGAGGGGCGAACCGGUCCAGGUCGGAAACGGGAGUUAGUAUCAAUUUGAUGAUGAGUACAUGUGGUGCAUGUUUUUCCAUUCUUGUGAUACCUCACUUUCAAGGAUGGGCUCAAUCUCU
Molecule: signal recognition particle RNA, 299 nt
Filed under: Microcebus murinus (gray mouse lemur)
Lineage: Eukaryota; Metazoa; Chordata; Mammalia; Primates; Cheirogaleidae
Description: Metazoan signal recognition particle RNA (ENSMICG00000036823.2)
Rfam family: Metazoan signal recognition particle RNA
About the family: The signal recognition particle (SRP) is a universally conserved ribonucleoprotein. It is involved in the co-translational targeting of proteins to membranes.
Source: RNAcentral